RNAcentral lists this transfer RNA (68 nucleotides) under Euclimacia badia. RNAcentral's name for it is "tRNA-Pro". It matches the Rfam family "tRNA". From Rfam's summary of the family: Transfer RNA (tRNA) molecules are approximately 80 nucleotides in length. Lineage: Eukaryota; Metazoa; Arthropoda; Insecta; Neuroptera; Mantispidae. The record is from RNAcentral.
CAGAAGAUAGUUUAAUAUUAAAAUAAUAAUUUUGGAGAUUAUUGAUAAAGGUCGUUCUUUUCUUCUGA